Molecule: ribosomal RNA, 400 nt
Filed under: uncultured bacterium
Lineage: Bacteria
Description: bacterial SSU rRNA
Rfam family: Bacterial small subunit ribosomal RNA
Source: RNAcentral
GGGGGAUAUUGCACAAUGGAGGAAACUCUGAUGCAGCAAUGCCGCGUGAGGGAAGACGGUCUUCGGAUUGUAAACCUCUGUCCUUGGUGAAGAUAAUGACGGUAGCCAAGGAGGAAGCUCCGGCUAACUACGUGCCAGCGGACGCGGUAAUACGUAGGGAGCAAGCGUUGUCCGGAUUUACUGGGUGUAAAGGGUGCGUAGGCGGCUUUUUAAGUCGGGCGUGAAAGCUGUGGGCUUAACCCACAAAUUGCGUUCGAAACUGGAGGGCUUGAGUGAAGUAGAGGUAGGCGGAAUUCCCGGUGUAGCGGUGAAAUGCGUAGAGAUCGGGAGGAACACCAGUGGCGAAGGCGGCCUACUGGGCUUUAACUGACGCUGAGGCACGAAAGCAUGGGUAGCAAAC